Olea europaea var. sylvestris is the source of this 897-nucleotide long non-coding RNA. RefSeq lists it as uncharacterized. The record is from RefSeq and is a predicted model, not a curated record. The transcript has 2 exons. Lineage: Eukaryota; Viridiplantae; Streptophyta; Magnoliopsida; Lamiales; Oleaceae.
UUCCGUUUGCUGCUCAAUAGUCACUGAACUUACUAACAUACCAUCCAUCACUCGCUUUCCCCGCCGUUUGAACCCAUCUCACGUGGCUUGACGGCAGGCAACAUGGCUGUCGAUGGUGUCAAAUUCGACCACGGUGGAUGUGAUUUCACAGCCAAAAGACGACCUUCACCAUUUCCCUCAACCCAUGAAUCUCUCAUCUCUAAUUUGUACAUCCAGCCCUAGAUCGAUUUCCUUCCAAAUCUUCCCCCAAGUCGAUUCUUCCACACGAAAUUGCUAGAAGUUCUUCAUCUUCCAAUGGACACCAUCCCUGGAUGCAAGUGAUUUUCACCCAUAAACUUCGAACUACAUCCCAUUACCUUAACGUUCAAAAUGCGGAGGAGGAAACCCCAGGAGCCCAACCAACCGUGAGCGAUGAAGGUGACUUAUUAAACUAGGGUAAAUUGAUAGACGCAAGAGGGGGUAGGGGCUUAUCAAGCGAUAAUGUGCAUGAAGAACGUCAAAUGCAAUUCAUGCCUAUGCCUAUGGCUGCGGGAGAAACACAAACUGGUAUGCUUAGAUCUAGACCAGCAGCCACUUUGGUUGAUGAGUUGCAAGACAUAGCUGAGGCUGAAUCUUCAAGAUUGAGAGUGAAAGGGCACGAUAUAGCUGACUUGUGGACUGUUGGAUGGCCACUUCGAUGCGUUCUUCAUGCAAUGACAGACAUUCAUAUUCCCUUGUUGUUUAUAAGUUAGAUGUUUAGGCAAUACCAUCAUGUGUAUUUGUGGAUAUUUUAUAUUGUGUAAGUAUCUCAGACAAUGUUAACCGAAUUUUGUUCCCAUGUCAACUGGAUUUUGUCACGUCUUGCUACUCAUUUGCUGUGAAGUUUUUGUCAAUUGAAAUCAGCAAAUUUUUGUUUUG